This 497-nucleotide ribosomal RNA is filed under the name uncultured bacterium. RNAcentral's name for it is "partial 16S ribosomal RNA". It matches the Rfam family "Bacterial small subunit ribosomal RNA", at positions 28 to 507 of the family's 1533-position model. The record is from RNAcentral.
GAUGAACGCUGGCGGCGUGCCUAAUACAUGCAAGUCGAGCGAACAGACGAGGAGCUCGCUCCUUUGACGUUAGCGGCGGACGGGUGAGUAACACGUGGGUAACCUACCUAUAAGACUGGGAUAACUUCGGGAAACCGGAGCUAAUACCGGAUAAUAUUUCGAACCGCAUGGUUCGAUAGUGAAAGAUGGCUUUGCUAUCACUUAUAGAUGGACCUGCGCCGUAUUAGCUAGUUGGUAAGGUAACGGCUUACCAAGGCAACGAUACGUAGCCGACCUGAGAGGGUGAUCGGCCACACUGGAACUGAGACACGGUCCAGACUCCUACGGGAGGCAGCAGUAGGGAAUCUUCCGCAAUGGGCGAAAGCCUGACGGAGCAACGCCGCGUGAGUGAUGAAGGUCUUCGGAUCGUAAAACUCUGUUAUUAGGGAAGAACAAACGUGUAAGUAACUGUGCACGUCUUGACGGUACCUAAUCAGAAAGCCACGGCUAACUACGUG